UAGGGAAUCUUCGGCAAUGGGGGCAACCCUGACCGAGCAACGCCGCGUGAGUGAAGAAGGUUUUCGGAUCGUAAAGCUCUGUUGUAAGUCAAGAACGGGUGUGAGAGUGGAAAGUUCACACUGUGACGGUAGCUUACCAGAAAGGGACGGCUAACUACGUGCCAGCAGCCGCGGUAAUACGUAGGUCCCGAGCGUUGUCCGGAUUUAUUGGGCGUAAAGCGAGCGCAGGCGGUUUGAUAAGUCUGAAGUUAAAGGCUGUGGCUCAACCAUAGUUCGCUUUGGAAACUGUCAAACUUGAGUGCAGAAGGGGAGAGUGGAAUUCCAUGUGUAGCGGUGAAAUGCGUAGAUAUAUGGAGGAACACCGGUGGCGAAAGCGGCUCUCUGGUCUGUAACUGACGCUGAGGCUCGAAAGCGUGGGGAGCGAACAGGAUUAGAUACCCUGGUAGUCCACGCCGUAAAACGAUGAGUGCUAGGUGUUGGAUCCUUUCCGGGAUUCAGUGCCGCAGCUAACGCAUUAAGCACUCCGCCUGGGGAGUACGACCGCAAGGUUGAAAC
This 555-nucleotide ribosomal RNA is filed under the name uncultured bacterium. RNAcentral describes it as "partial 16S ribosomal RNA". It matches the Rfam family "Bacterial small subunit ribosomal RNA", at positions 355 to 900 of the family's 1533-position model. The record is from RNAcentral.